CCGUCACUUCAUCCCUGUGAGCCGAGCUUUCUUCAGCAGCAAAACCAGGACCGCAGGUUAGAUGUUCCCAUAUGCCUCAGCCAGGAGGUCAAGGUCAACCUCACCAAGGUCAACAUCACCAACAUCAACAAGGUCUGCGAAGUCAUUGAAAACAAGGAAAGUCUAAGAAGACGUCGCAGCGAAGAGGAGCCUGAGGAGAUGUGACGACCAGUGUGUCCUGCAUGGGAUCCUCGAAAAGAAAGAGAAUAUUGGGUAGAAGGUGAUGCUGUCAACACUGGCAACGGGGAUCGCUUGCCAAAAUAAGACAGUCUGUGUUCCUGUGAACUCUGAAAUCCCCUGCGCAGGGUGGAAAGCACCAGAAUCCUGGGGAUUUUUCUAGAGUGGAUUUUGUUUUCAGCGAGAAAGAGUUGCAGCCAUACACAAGUGGUCAGAGGUGACCUGCAAAACCGGGAGCCCCUUUCUGAUCCCUCGGGUCAGCCAUCAGCGUGACCACCUGCCUUGGCCCAAAACGACAGGAUCCUCCACAGACAGCUUGGCAAGGCCACGGCCUGACCACUCACCACAUCCCCACCCGGCAUCCCUCCCCCACCUCACGGCCCCAGAGUCUGGGGUGGAACACGAGAGUUUGAGGUCCUCCGCCACCGUGUGAAAUCACAGUAAACAGCAGAUGUAUGUCUUAGUGGGGAAUCAGCUUACAAAACCAUGUGUACAAUAGAUGCCCAACUUUGUAAAUCUAUAACCACCUGUGUAGAAAUAGAGUCUGGAAGACCACAGAGAGCAGGUCCCCUAACCAGCGCCCAUGGAGUCGAGCCCACGUGCGGGGCUCCCGCUGUAGCUGUCUCCACUGGGGUCCAUGCUCUGCUGACCGUCCCACCUGGCGGCAGCUCCGGGAUCCCCCUGCCCCUCUGCACCCCUGACACACCUGCCAAGGUCAGCCUUGUUCACACAGCUGCUGAUGCUGCUGUGCAUAUAAUUGAUCCAUUUCAGUAACUGUUACAUCAACCAAUGAAAUCUUAAGUGCAAAAGGAGUUAUUCAUUCUGUGGAAACUAAGCUUUAGGAAACAUCGAUGCCUAUAAGUUGCUAAAAAAAAAAAUAAAAAAGCUUCAACUGAGUGAUGGGUUAAGGUAGCAGUAAACAAUUGUGGUAAACAUUCGUAACAUUCUAGAAAAAUCCUGUAUUUGGACUGUGAAUUUGGAAUGUAGAACUCCAGGCAGGAGCAAUACAAAAUGAAUGUACAUUUGCACCACUUGAGGUUAAAACAAAGUAUAAACCAUGAGCAGAAACCGCCAUUGUCCUUCUCCCUGUUUUUAAUGGCGCGUUCCU
Molecule: long non-coding RNA, 1324 nt
Organism: Aethalodelphis obliquidens (Pacific white-sided dolphin)
Lineage: Eukaryota; Metazoa; Chordata; Mammalia; Artiodactyla; Delphinidae
Exons: 3
Source: RefSeq, a predicted model, not a curated record